RNAcentral lists this ribosomal RNA (697 nucleotides) under Artocarpus heterophyllus (jackfruit). RNAcentral describes it as "eukaryotic LSU rRNA". The stretch from base 271 to 426 matches the Rfam family "5.8S ribosomal RNA". Lineage: Eukaryota; Viridiplantae; Streptophyta; Magnoliopsida; Rosales; Moraceae. The record is from RNAcentral.
GGUUUCCGUAGGUGAACCUGCGGAAGGAUCAUUGUCGAAACCUGCCCAGCAGAAAGACCCGCGAACAGGUUUACAACACUUGGGGGCGAGGGGUGCAAUGCGCCUUGAACCCCCCAUGCCGAGCGCGUGUGGCUUUGCCAUGCGUCCCCGGCCACUAACCAACCCCGGCGCGGAAUGCGUCAAGGAAACAUAAAGAAACGAGCUUCUACUGUGGCCCCAGAUUUGGUGCCUGCUGCAGCAGAUGUGUCGUGUUUCGUUAAGUCUAAAAACGACUCUCGGCAACGGAUAUCUCGGCUCUCGCAUCGAUGAAGAACGUAGCGAAAUGCGAUACUUGGUGUGAAUUGCAGAAUCCCGUGAACCAUCGAGUCUUUGAACGCAAGUUGCGCCCGAAGCCAUCCGGUCGAGGGCACGUCUGCCUGGGCGUCACACACCGUUGCCCCCCUAAGUCCCUUUGACACUAUCCAUGUGGUGCAUGGGGACUAGGAGUGGCGGAUGAUGGCCUCCCGUGGGCCUUGACUCGCGGUUGGUCUAAAUUUGAGUCCUCGGUCACGGUCGCCGUGGCAAUAGGUGGUCGUCGAUCAUUCGGUGCCCUGCCACGCGCUCCGGACAAAAGCAUCGAGAGACUUUACAAACUUGACCCCGAUGCACCACAACGUAGGUGCUCCAACGCGACCCCAGGUCAGGCGGGGCUACCCGC